AUUCUGUGAUGAUUGGACCGCCGCGUCCGCCACCGUCACAAGAUUCGGACUCUGAGGAAGAAGAGGAGGAGGAUAAUCGGUAUCGGAUUCCUAUGAGUAAUGAGAUUGUGCUCAAGAGCCAUUCUAAGAUUGUGUCAGCUCUCGCUGUUGAUCACACUGGGUCUAGAGUUCUUUCUGGGAGUUACGACUAUACAGUACGCAUGUAUGAUUUCCAAGGGAUGAAUUCACGUUUGCAAUCAUUUAGGCAGCUCGAACCAUUUGAAGGUCAUCAAGUUCGUAAUUUAAGCUGGAGCCCAACUGCAGAUCGUUUUUUGUGUGUGACUGGUUCUGCUCAAGCUAAGAUAUAUGACCGUGAUGGACUUACAUUAGGUGAGUUUGUAAAAGGGGACAUGUAUAUUCGUGAUUUGAAGAACACCAAAGGCCACAUAUCUGGGUUGACUGGAGGAGAGUGGCAUCCUAAAACUAAGGAAACUAUUUUGACAUCAUCAGAGGAUGGAUCAUUGCGUAUAUGGGAUGUAAAUGAUUUCAAAAGUCAAAAGCAGGUCAUCAAACCAAAGCUUGCUAGGCCGGGAAGAAUUCCAGUUACAGCAUGUGCCUGGGACUGUGAAGGAAAAUGCAUCGCUGGUGGCAUUGGAGAUGGUUCUAUACAGAUAUGGAACCUCAAGCCUGGAUGGGGAAGCAGGCCAGAUGUGUAUCUUGAGAAAGCCCAUUCUGAUGAUAUUACUGGUCUUAAAUUUUCCAGCAAUGGACGAUUUCUACUUUCAAGAAGCUUUGAUGGCUCACUUAAGGUUUGGGAUUUGCGAAAAACAAAAGAUUCUCUAAGGGCUUUUGAGGAUCUUCCAAAUCACUAUGCUCAAACAAAUAUAGCAUUUAGUCCUGAUGAGAAGCUCUUCUUGACUGGAACAUCUGUUGAAAGGGAGAGCACAACUGGAGGUUUGUUGUGCUUUUAUGAUCGGGAAAAACUUGAUCUUGUUUCCAGGGUUGGAAUUUCCCCAACUUGCAGUGUUGUGCACUGCAUGUGGCACCCAAAACUAAAUCAGAUCUUUGCAACAUCUGGAGAUAAAAGCCAAGGUGGAACUCACAUAUUAUAUGAUCCAACACUUAGUGAGAGGGGAGCUCUUGUCUGUGUUGCUCGGGCACCUCGGAAAAAAUCUGUGGAUGAUUUUGAGGCACAACCUGUUAUUCAUAACCCUCAUGCACUACCCUUAUUUAGAGAUCAGCCAAGCCGUAAGCGUCAGCGAGAGAAGAUAUUGAAGGAUCCCAUUAAGUCCCGUAAGCCUGAGCUUCCAAUAACAGGACCAGGUCAUGGUGGGAGAGUUGGGGCAAGUAAAGGAAGCUUGUUGACCCAGUAUCUACUUAAGCAAGGAGGAAUGAUCAAGGAGACAUGGAUGGAGGAAGAUCCAAGAGAAGCUAUAUUGAAGUAUGCUGACGUUGCAGCAAAAGAUCCCAAGUACAUUGCUCCAGCAUAUUCACAAACCCAGCCUGAACCAGUUUUUGCAAAAUCAGAUUCUGAGGAUGAAGAAAAGUAAUCUGAUCAUCUUGUUUCAUUUGCUGUUUGCAGCCUGGUAAUGGAUCUCAUGGUAUUUUCUCUGUGGGAGGGCUCAGCUGUUCAUGUAGUAACAGUAGAAUAUUGACACAUCUAAGGAAGUUAUAUUGUGCCACUACCCUUGCCAAGAAUUGGUAGCUCAAUUUUCUUUGCUGUUUAUUUGUGGGUGAGAUCAGAUCUUUGCCAUCUCUUCAGUAAGUUCAACAGCAGAAGGCAUUGAAGAAGAAAUAAUGAAAUAUGCUGAAAGUUAUCAUCAUAGCUUACAAUUGGUGAUAGUUAAAAUAGGAGAAUUUCUGAUGUAUUUUUCGAAGUUCUGAUCUCAGUAACAUGGACAGGGCUAAAAUGUAGAUGAGCACCAAUCUCAUAAUCUAUGUAUCAUAGUCUGCUUCUCUGCUGUAGAUUUGUCGAAAGCUGCCAACUGGUGCCUAAAGAAGUUGUGCUCUCUGAGUUGGGACAUCUUCAGCUUGAUGUGGUGUUCAAUCUUCACUACCCUUGUAAUGCUGUAUAAUUUGCCAUUUUAUUGGUUCCAACUGAUCCUCGAGAAUUAGUCUCUUCUUGCUUGUAAUAAAAGAUAUGCUAGAUGAAGGUAAUGUUUCCCAAAGUUGGGUGCAGAAUCAACCUGUUAUUAUUAC
This 2178-nucleotide unclassified non-coding RNA is filed under the name Hevea brasiliensis (rubber tree). Lineage: Eukaryota; Viridiplantae; Streptophyta; Magnoliopsida; Malpighiales; Euphorbiaceae. The record is from RNAcentral.